RNAcentral lists this ribosomal RNA (253 nucleotides) under uncultured bacterium. RNAcentral describes it as "partial 16S ribosomal RNA". It matches the Rfam family "Bacterial small subunit ribosomal RNA", at positions 524 to 776 of the family's 1533-position model. The record is from RNAcentral.
CACGUAGGGCGCAAGCGUUGUCCGGAAUUAUUGGGCGUAAAGAGCGUGUAGGCGGCCAUGUAGGUCCGUUGUGAAAACUCGAGGCUCAACCUCGAGACGCCGAUGGAAACCAUGUGGCUAGAGUCCGGAAGAGGAGAGUGGAAUUCCUGGUGUAGCGGUGAAAUGCGCAGAUAUCAGGAAGAACACCCGUGGCUAAGGCGGCUCUCUAGUACGGUACUGACGCUGAGACGCGAAAGCGUGGGGAGCGAACAGG